RNAcentral lists this ribosomal RNA (495 nucleotides) under Triticum aestivum (bread wheat). RNAcentral describes it as "partial small subunit ribosomal RNA". Lineage: Eukaryota; Viridiplantae; Streptophyta; Magnoliopsida; Poales; Poaceae. The record is from RNAcentral.
AUGAGAAGCACACAAUUAAGUGAGAGCUUGAAUAGUGACUUGAAAGACCAUUUGAAGUCUGAUCUUGACAUUCUUCAUUUUUUCAAGCACGUAGAGAGGGUUGUGAAAGGAAAGAGAGAUAAAGAGCGAUGGACUCGAGAAGCACGAAGCGGCACUAUUCAAAACAGCCAUGGCAACAUUGUUUUGCAAGACCCUAGAUCCGAAGAUAGGCAGCAGCUUAAGUUUUUCAUGCAUGAGUUCCUUGGCAUAGCUUCCCAAGCAGUUGCAUCACAAGAGUGCAUAAAAUUAGUAGAUGAUGCUUUGAAGAAUCUAAAGAAGCAAGUUGAAGACAAAGCUCCUACUACUACAUGCAGAACUGAAGCUAUAUCUCAGGAACCAGACAUUUGUUUGCAAACAGCCUGUCUGAAGAAAAAGGAAAUUCAGCAGAAGACUUCAAAAAGGAAGAAAUCAUGGCUUGAUAAUCAACAUCCCAGUAAAAAGAAAAAAGGGGCAGCU